Molecule: RNA transcript, 808 nt
Organism: Cercocebus atys (sooty mangabey)
Lineage: Eukaryota; Metazoa; Chordata; Mammalia; Primates; Cercopithecidae
Exons: 3
Source: RefSeq, a predicted model, not a curated record
AGACCCCAAGACGCCUCUUUGCAGCUGGACUUGAUGUAGAUAAGCUCCAGAAACUGGAGCUGAGUUUGAUGUCAAAAUAGGAUGAGGUAGCCCCGCCACCUACCUUCUACCUGGAGCCUUCCUUCCCAGGUCCUUCUUCAACACCAGCUCCAGGAUCUGCAAGACCUUUGGGUAUGGCCUCUGCAGAAGGAAGGAGACCACUUCCUGGAGAAGCAGGAGUGAGCCAGGAUCUGCUGUGGGAGACAGCCGGGACCCCAGGGCGUGGGGCAAGAGAGCCUGUCACCUGUGCUGCCUUGAGAUGCUGAUGUCUGAGGAUGCCCCAGACAGGGCCUGUGGCUGCCUUCUGAAAUAGUGCAGCACCUUCUCUGCUUCCUCCUCAACCCUCUCCUUCACGGCAGAACUCUGCCUCCUUCCUGUCCCCAUGGGCUUGCUUCAGCACUGUAUUUGAUAAACUGAGCACCACAAGAACACAAACCACAUUCCUUUGUUCUUUCAUCACGUUAUCCCCAGCACUUAGCACAGUGCCUGGCACAAAGGAGGCAGUCUGUAAAUAUUUGUGUAAAGAAUGAAUAAACGAGGGCAUGAGCACAUCUCCUUUGCCCAGGACGGAUGACAGGCUGAGGGUUUGAAUCCAGGACUCUCUGAACCUAGCCCUCAUUCUCACUGCAUCCUCACCUUCAUCCUCUACCCUCCACCCCCUCACUGGGUUCUUUGGGGAUGGCAGGGGUGGAGUUUCUGGCGUCCGGUUCUGAGCAUCAGCGCUGCCAAGCGGUGGUGGCAGGGAGGAUUUCAUGAAAGAAUCCCCCAU